Molecule: long non-coding RNA, 1397 nt
Organism: Pygoscelis adeliae (Adelie penguin)
Lineage: Eukaryota; Metazoa; Chordata; Aves; Sphenisciformes; Spheniscidae
Exons: 2
Source: RefSeq, a predicted model, not a curated record
GGCUUUGUCAACCAGAAGCCCACCAGGCCCAGAGAACAACAACACUGACCAUCAGUGCCCACAAAGGAACAGCAAGAAGCCGGCGGGACAGUCCACAAUAUCAUAUGAUUACUCAGAGGAGGAGCUUAUGGCAAGCAUCGAGCAGGAGUACUGCCGCUGAACCCAACCCCACGCCACGAGAACUUCAAGCACAUUCCUGGAAGCCCAGCUGGAGCAAAACUGCUGCUGACAAAAUAACACCUCGCACAGCAAGAUGGCACAGGAGAGGUGAGUGGCGAAGGGAGGUGAAGCACGAGAGACAGUGCAGCUGCUCGGGAAGCAUGAAGGAGAAAGCCCUCCUGACCAACUCUGAGUGAGAUCGUGAAGAUCCUCACCAACUGAUUUCUGAUUGGUGCCGCUGGAAUAGGGACCAAUUCAUCUUGCAAAUCAAUAUUUAGAAGCUCAUUUCUAUAUAGUAUUUACAAAUGAAGACGUACUAGAAUUGAAGUGUCAUACAAGAAGUGUUGAGACACGGUGCUUUGAAGGAAGAUCUUGUUUUGUCUUAGCAGAAGAAAAAUGCAGCAAUAUCAUUUGAUUCAGAUCUCACUUAAGGGAGCGUUGCAUGAAAUUCAUAUUCCGGACACUUAAAACCAGCCAAAUUCACUCCUUGCGCUGUGCAAGCCUCCAGGUCUGAAUUUGGCACUGUCUCUUCGAAUGACGUCCCCGGCGUGGGAUAUAAGAUGAAAAGGGGAGUGAGCCCACCAUCCAGUACAUAGGCAGUGUCAUCCCAGAGUUCAAAUCCCACCACUUAGGCAAACAAGGCUCCUGGAAGCCAACAGGGAGCAUAGGAUUUGUACAAUCCCUUUGGGGCGGGAUGCCAGCAUCGGUGUGGUACCUGGGCCUGGUGUGGCGUGGAUCCCCCAGUGAAAGCAGGAGGCACGCCCCCAGUGCUGCCUUGCUGCAGCCAGCGAUCAUCCAUCUUAGGAGGGACUUGCACACUAUUGCAGAGCAGCUGUUUGUGAUCAGUUUUCAGAGUUAUCAGCCCUGGCCUUCCCGUUUAUUUCUAGUAGGUAACCUAGAAGAAAAAUCACUACAUUUUACCAUUAGCUGACUGCAAAGUAAAACAGAAAGUCAGCUCUCCAAAGAAAACUGUAUAUUUUCAGUGCUUCCUGACUGGGAAGCCUGGUAUUUUAGGGUUUCUGCCUUUAUUUUACCUGCACCUUAAUGUAUUAUGAGUAGUUGCUUAUUAUCAGAAGUAGAAAAAUACCUUAUUUCUGUCUUCAGCUGAAGCAUAAAAGAAAUCUUCACAUAGACUGUGUAAAUGCAAGAGGAAACAGCAGGACACAUCUUAAGAUGCUGCAUUUUAACUUCUUUGUAAUUCCUGGUAUCUGUGAAACAGAAAUAAACGCAUCUGUACU